This 144-nucleotide small RNA is filed under the name Streptomyces sp. RNAcentral's name for it is "c-di-AMP sequence". It matches the Rfam family "c-di-AMP riboswitch aptamer (ydaO/yuaA leader)". Rfam says of the family: This family represents a conserved RNA structure found upstream of the ydaO and yuaA genes in Bacillus subtilis and related genes in other bacteria. The ydaO/yuaA element is thought to act as a genetic "off" switch for the ydaO and yuaA genes in its native state. The record is from RNAcentral. Lineage: Bacteria; Bacillati; Actinomycetota; Actinomycetes; Kitasatosporales; Streptomycetaceae.
CAGCACACCUCGCUGCGCCACGUACUCAAGGCCGAAGUCCGGCUAGGGGUUAAGCCGAGCGCCGCACGAGCACCACGCGGCUCAGGCCGGGCAACUCACGCCCGAACCCGACAGCUGACCUCGUAGGCGUCGGUGAGGACACAA